UGAAACCACUUUUCGUAAACAAUUUAAUUUUGCAAUUAAAUUAUAAUUAACGUUUGAAUUUAUAAACUAAUUAUAUAGAAAUAAUUAAAAAUGAAUAUUUUCUAUGUAAUAAAUCAAGAGUUUUCAAGUCGCUUACUCAAUCUAUAUAGCUAAACUUUCAAACAAGAGAUGGUGUUGCGUUAGCGUGUUGCACGUAACAUGUUAUUUGUUAUUUUGUAAGUGGUAUGUUUACUAAUAUAAACGUAUGAUGUUCCUAACUUUCAUAUAAGUAUUUUUGAGUCACGUUUUACGUGACAUUUAUUCAAUCUUUUGUACAAAGAUACUAUAAAUUAAUCAAAAUAACCUCAACGUGAAUAAUGCUUGUUUUACGCGGUUUACAAAACACAAAUUUGCUUGUGCUACUUGGUGGUCUUUUACUGUGCCUCGUUUUUAUGAUACAAGUUAAGCAAAUCUAUAAUAACAAUCAGAAAUACAACAGAUACUUGGGCUAUAAACAAUAUAUGAAUGAAAUAUCAACAGAAUUAAAAGCAGUAGAAAAAUCUGCAAACAAGUCUUCAACUUACGUUCGUCAGUUGAAUGAAAUUCUUCUAAAACGUCGUGAAAAGGAUGUGAAAAACAUUUCUCUACUACAUCCUACUUUUCCAUUAUAAUUUAUUUCAACAGAUUACCUGGAAGGUUGGUGAUACAUAAAAAUCCUGAUCAAUAGGAAAUGGCAUUUUGUAAUUUAUGUUGUGCUCUAUUUUCAAACACACACAAUGAAAUAAUGUUAGAAAUUAAUUUUAUAUUAAUGAGAGAAAAUAGUUGAGAUUUACCUUCAACGAGAAG
Osmia bicornis bicornis is the source of this 825-nucleotide long non-coding RNA. RefSeq lists it as uncharacterized. The record is from RefSeq and is a predicted model, not a curated record. The transcript has 4 exons. NCBI's taxonomy places the organism in Eukaryota, Metazoa, Arthropoda, Insecta, Hymenoptera, Megachilidae.